RNAcentral lists this ribosomal RNA (253 nucleotides) under uncultured bacterium. RNAcentral describes it as "partial 16S ribosomal RNA". It matches the Rfam family "Bacterial small subunit ribosomal RNA", at positions 524 to 776 of the family's 1533-position model. The record is from RNAcentral.
UACGUAGGUGGCAAGCGUUGUCCGGAUUUACUGGGCGUAAAGAGCGCGCAGGCGGCCAAGUCAGUCGAAUGUGAAAGCCCCCGGCUUAACUGGGGAGGGUCAUUCGAUACUGCUCGGCUCGAAGACAGGAGAGGGAAGUGGAAUUCCCGGUGUAGUGGUGAAAUGUGUAGAUAUCGGGAGGAACACCAGUGGCGAAGGCGACUUUCUGGCCUGUUCUUGACGCUGAGGCGCGAAAGCUAGGGGAGCAAACGGG